Gambusia affinis (western mosquitofish) is the source of this 734-nucleotide long non-coding RNA. RefSeq lists it as uncharacterized. Lineage: Eukaryota; Metazoa; Chordata; Actinopteri; Cyprinodontiformes; Poeciliidae. The record is from RefSeq and is a predicted model, not a curated record. The transcript has 3 exons.
AAUUUGAUUAGCUUUGGUCAAACACCUGUUUGUUUGUUUGUUUUUUUUGCUUCAUUCAGGGUUGCUGUUCAGUGUUUGACAAGCACGGGGAUGUUUUUGUAUCCAUUUUGCAGAAGCAGUGUGAAGGACUUGCUGCAAUGUCGGUCUUUUGUCUCCAUCUACUGGUCAGAAAUUCUCUGCAGUCUAGAAGAUCAGCGUACUGGCUCUGGGAAAAUUCUGGUUCGAGAGAGAUGAGCGUGUAUCUUCCUGAGCGUAAACACGGCAGAAUGUCACAGGAUGAUGAACUGGAUGAUUACCUUGCUCGAGUGCUCUGCUCUGCUCCGGGGUGAAAGAGGUGCGGUUCUUGUGCCGGGCACCUUCAGGUUUCUGGUCAUCAGAGUUCAUCACUUGCUUGUUUACUUCUGCAGCCACAGAGUAAUGAUCUGCAAAAGGUUCAUUGGUUAGCACUUCAGUUUGAUUCCUUUGAUUCCAUAAAAAGAAUUUUUGAAAGUAUGAAUUAGUUAUUAAAAUUGCACCUCCUAGUGUGAACAUGACUUUUUCAGGAAGGGGACAAUAACUUAUAUUGUCCAAAUUAACAGACUCAAGUCAUUUAAUUACACUAUUAAAACAAAUGAGCUUUAAAAAUGUUGACAGUUGGCCCUGUUUAACAUUUUGUUUGAUGUGCAUCUGACUAUUCAUGUGACAUUGAACAUCACAGUGAUAUUAAAAUAGCUGUCUAAGACAGUAAGUCAGAA